This is a long non-coding RNA of Pangasianodon hypophthalmus (striped catfish), 1258 nucleotides long. RefSeq lists it as uncharacterized. The record is from RefSeq and is a predicted model, not a curated record. The transcript is spliced from 5 exons. NCBI's taxonomy places the organism in Eukaryota, Metazoa, Chordata, Actinopteri, Siluriformes, Pangasiidae.
UGUGUGUGUGUGUCGGGACUGUGAUGGAGCGGCAGAGGACGCAAGAGAGUUGGGCAGUGUUAAAGAUCUUUAGCGAGAUAAACAAUGACAUUAUGGGCAAAAUGCGAUCAGCAUGACUUCCUCCAAGCCGAUAGCGCCUGAAUAAGAGUUUCACGAAUAAGGAUUCGGCAGUGGAAGAGUUAAAACACAGUGAGCAAACAGUGCAGGAACUGGAGUGUAGCCUAUAAGCAGACUGCAGCGUGGAUUACACAGCAUUUAACCUACAAGCCUACAGCUGUCAUUUCCUCAGAGCAGUAUGAGUCUGCACCGACAUAAGGAAGGAGUCAUGGCGUCUAAUCCAUCAGUCCUUAUCAGUCCCUGCUGAGACCUGUGAUCAGCGGGAAUGCUCAGGUGACUUAACCCCUCCAGCUCAGAGAGAGCCCUCAGAGAUACAUGCACUAGUUAAACUCCCUACGCCAACACAAACCCUAGACUGUCCAGACGAAUCUGUCCACACAAACCAGACGGAUCAGAAUGAAAGCAAACAAGUCAUGGGACAUGGAGGAGAGGAUCAGGAAACAGGACUGAACGUGGACACUGAGAACAGUGGACAGAGGAAAGAGACCCAAGAUCUGGAUCCUGUGGAGAGGGAUCAGGAAAACCCCAAAACAUGCAGAGAUGUCAGAGAGCAUCGAGCACAAGUGUUAUCUCCAUCCCUCUCUCGCUUUAAUUUCUCUGUGGUGCAGUUCCUGAAAGCCUCAUUUGAAUAUCCUCAUCAUAACAGCCCUGUGGUGGAACCUCAAUUAAUAUGUUAAUGUUGCUGUUCAAGCUUUUUAAUUAGUGAAACUCUGUUUUGAAUGUUUGAGGGAACAAUUGCAGAACAGCUGUUGCCACCAGCUGAAAAGUAUGACAUUAGUCAAGUAUCCCCUGAUUGCAUGUAAAUCUGUAACAGACGCACACACACACACGCGCACACACACACACACACACACACACACACACACACACACACGCAGACACCUUCCAGUUUUUUCCCCCUUUCUCUUUCAUGUGUCUUCCCUUUCCCUCCCCCAACAUUGGUCUCUUUUUCAUCGAGGGUUUUUUUUCCAUCUCAGUAGACUGUUGAGGAACAUUUAGCUUUCAGACAGAAUUAUUCAAUCAUAACUGCAGGGCCAACAUUAGAUUUUAAAAGAGUAAUUAAAGUUAAAUACAGCACUGAUGAUCUACUCCUUCAGGAUAUGUUGUGAUAUUAAAUUAUUUAUGACUAGAGGGUCUCUCU